Podarcis lilfordi (Lilford's wall lizard) is the source of this 73-nucleotide non-coding RNA. NCBI's taxonomy places the organism in Eukaryota, Metazoa, Chordata, Lepidosauria, Squamata, Lacertidae. The record is from the annotation of a GenBank genome assembly.
GGGGGAAUGGCUCAGUGAUAGGGCACUUGCCUUGCAUGCAGAAGGUCCCAGAUUCAAUCCUUGGCAUCUCCCU